GUCUAGCCUCAAGUUGUCACUCUCCCUGGGAUCCUGGGCAUCUUUCACUACCCCCAAAUUUCAGACAUUGGAGUCAGGACAGAGAGGUGUUAGGAACCCCAAUCUGAUUUGAACAGGCUUUCUAGAGGCAUAAUUGUGGCCAUUUACCAGUCUCUGUCCCUUGCAUCUGUAGAGCUGGUUGUAGUAGAGGCAGGGAUUCCCAAGAGCUAUCAGCAUCUUCAAAGCAGUGGUCUGUCUGAGACCUGAAGAUGCUCAGUAAAAGUUACCCUUACCACUUGGGGUCCUCAAGUGAGGCAAGGGUGGCUCCCCUCCACCCACACCUGCUGGUUUUAAGCAAGCCAGCUGCCAUGGAUGAAUAGGCAGAUAACAGCUGGCACCAUGUUAAACUUCUCAGGCAGGAGCCCCAACCAUCUCCUCUGUCCAUUUUGGUAGGUGGCACCUCUGAGCAUGAGAAGCUCUGCCGGGCCCGGGACCAGUGCCGGGAGAUUCUCAAGUAUGUGAAUGAAGCGGUAAAACAAACAGAGAAUCGCCACCGUUUAGAGGGCUACCAGAAACGCCUGGAUGCCACCGCUCUGGAGAGGGCCAGCAACCCCCUGGCAGCAGAGUUCAAGAGUCUGGAUCUUACAACCAGAAAAAUGAUCCAUGAGGGACCCCUGACCUGGAGAAUCAGCAAGGAUAAGACCUUGGACCUCCACGUGCUGCUGCUGGAGGACCUCCUGGUGCUGCUGCAGAAACAGGAUGAGAAGCUAUUGCUGAAGUGCCACAGCAAGACCACUGUGGGCUCCUCAGACAGCAAGCAGACCUUCAGCCCCGUGCUCAAGCUCAAUGCUGUGCUCAUCCGCUCUGUGGCCACAGAUAAACGGGCCUUCUUCAUCAUCUGCACCUCCAAGCUGGGCCCACCCCAGAUCUAUGAGCUGGUUGCAUUGACGUCAUCAGACAAGAACACAUGGAUGGAGCUCUUAGAAGAGGCCGUGCGGAAUGCCACCAGGCACCCUGGAGCUGCCCCGAUGCCUGUCCAUCCUCCACCCCCAGGUCCCCAGGAGCCAGUCCACCAGGGCCCCAUACCCAGCAGGGUAGAACUGGAUGACUCAGACGUGUUCCAUGGUGAACCCGAACCUGAGGAGCUGCCUGGCGGCACUGGGUCCCAGCAGAGGAUCCAAGGGAAGCACCCGGUCCUGCUAGAGGACCCUGAGCAGGAGGACAGUGCAGAGAAAGUGGAACUGGGUGUCCUGCCUUGCCCUUCCACAUCCCUGGAUGGAGAGAACAGGGGCAUCAGGACAAGGAACCCCAUCCACUUGGCCUUCCCAGGCCCUCUGUUCAUGGAAGGGCUUGCUGACUCCGCUCUGGAAGAUGGUGAGUGCUUCAAGGCCCUGCCGUCAGCCCCUGGUCCCCAGUCGCACACGCAAUGUGAACUGGCAGGCACCUGCACCCUCCACCUUCCCGAAGGCUCUUCCUGGUGUACUUGAGGAGAGAUGGAUGCAGAGACAGAUGUCAUUCCCCACCCAACCCCCACCAGCUAGUUGGCCAGAGCCCUCCAGCUUCACCUGUGCCUGAGGUCACCACCUUGGGGUCAGUGGGGCAGUACAGCGAUCCUUCUGGCGUGGUGUGCAGUCCCAUGCUGGGAAGACAUCACCCUGUUUCCCCUCCAGUGGAGAACCUGCGACACCUGAUCCUGUGGAGCCUGCUGCCAGGUCACACCAUGGAAACUCAGGCUGCUCAGGAACCCGAGGACGACCUGACACCCACACCUUCUGUCAUCAGCGUCACCUCUCACCCCUGGGACCCAGGCUCCCCAGGGCAAGCACCCCCUGGGGGUGAAGGGGACAACAUCCAGCUUGCAGGGCUGGAGGGGGAACGGCCAGAGCAGGAAGACAUGGGUCUCUGUUCUCUGGAACACCUACCCCCAAGGACCAGAAAUUCUGGGAUAUGGGAGUCUCCAGAACUGGACAGGAAUCUGGCUGAAGAUGCUUCAAGCACAGAGGCAGCAGGAGGUUAUAAAGUUGUGAGAAAAGGUAAAAUAAAUGGGAGUGUCCAGUGGGGAGACAAGCACCCUUGCUAGGUGAGAUAAGUCUUCCGAACAGCUGCUUCCUUCCCUAUACUCCCCCUGGGUACCGUGUGAGCAGAGACCUACGCUGGGUCCCGGAAGAAGGAGACAACGCCGAUAUCAGGCAGGCUUUGGAGUUGGACAUCCGAGAUUCAGAGCUUAGCUCUGCCACUUAAUAUCUGUGUGGCUUUAGACAAAAUUCUGAAUCAUCUCUGAGCUUCAUUUUGUAGCACAUAAGGACAUUUCUUUCUGCCUGGCACAAACCAACUACCAGUACCAGUCUCUGUUAGCACUCCUCACUGAUCUCCUGGUCCCAGGGAAAAGAGCCACUCUUCUCAGGAGCCUCAGGCCAGGAAAGACAGGGCAGGUGCUUGCAGCCCCUCAUGCCAGGCAACAGCUCCAAGGGCAGUAGAGGUGGCAGCUGGGACUGGAAGGGAUGGAGGACAAAGCUGGGAAGACAUUUGGCGAGUGAGGGGUGUGGGGAGUGAACAAGGUGGCAGGGAGGGCACCCCGGGUUGGGGAACACCAUGGGCGGCCUUGAGACAAGAAAAGCCAAGACAAGCUCACAGGGAGGCCGAUAGGUGAGCCCAGGGAGGAAGGUCCCCACCCCGGGAAGAGUGGGCUGGUCUGAGAGGGUGGCAAGAAAGGUAGAACAAAGCCUGGGGCACGCAUGGGAUGGGGUUCCACGCUAGUGGGCCUGCCCUCCCCUGGGAUUCCACUCUGCCUCCCUUCCAGCAGCAUUUUUCAUUCCAUCUGCCCGAGGGCCACCUGUCUCCUGGGUUUCUGGGAACUGACCUUCCUUCUCUGUCUCUCGGUGAAUUGGUGGAAAGUUCUCUGCACUGCCUGGGAUGUCAUCGUGUAUGAUCUUGUGUUUACCUUGUUCUUCCCGUUUUCUCCUCCCCCUGUCCCCACCUCCUGCUCUCUCUCCUUCCUGUUCUCUCUCCCUUCCCUUUCCUUGUCUUUUGGUCUCUCCUAUUCCUGGUGGUGGUGGUGUCGGUGCAGCUGAGGUGGCAGGCAGCAAGGUUGUCCCUGCACUACCAGAGAGUGGCCAGUCAGAGCCUGGGCCACCUGAAGUGGAAGGCGGAACAAAGGCUACGGGGAACUGCUUUUAUGUCAGCAUGCCAUCAGGACCCCUGGACUCAAGCACCGACCACUCAGGGGCACCCACGAGCCCCCCUCAGCCUGACAGCCUCCCUGCAGGGCAGACAGAGCCUCAGCCUCAGCUGCAGGGAGGCAACGGUGAUCCAAGACGCCCCAGCCACUCUCCCCCAAGCCUGGCCCUCAGGGACGUGGGCAUGAUCUUCCGUACCAUUGAGCAGCUCACCCUCAAGCUCAACAGGCUCAAGGAUAUGGAGCUGGCCCACAGAGAGCUGCUCAAGUCCCUUGGGGGAGAGUCAUCUGGUGGCACCACGCCUGUGGGCAGUUUCCACACAGAAGCAGCUAGAUGGACAGACGGCUCUCUCUCACCCCCCGCUAAGGAGCCCCUGGCUUCUGACUCCAGGAACAGCCAUGAACUGGGGCCCUGCCCUGAGGAUGGCUCUGACGCCCCCCUGGAAGACAGCGCAGCAGACGCAGCCGCGUCACCAGGACCAUAACCGUGCAAAACACCAAAUCCUCUGCAUCCCCACUCCUCCUUCAGGAACUGGCCUGAGACCGGGGCACAGGUUAGGGGGGAUCCCAACGCUCCUCCCUGUGGAGGAGGCAGUUGGGGAAACUAGGAUCCAGCCAAGGCCUGGGGGGAGACCCGCAUGUUGCUUGGUCUGCUUAAGUCGGAGUCAAGUUUCAGUGUCUUUUCCCUCCCUCAGCCCAACCCUCCAAGGCCUCAUGUCUCCUAAGCAUGCUGACUGCAUCCGAAAGGCCCCUACUCACCAUGGUCUGCCCUCACCCCACAUGUGCGUGUACCCGCGCACUCCUGUAUGUGCGCUGCCCUCAGAUGUGCAAGUGAAAGGAGGAGGCUUCUGUGUAAAUGCACUUUCUUCCUCCCCUCUUUCUCCAUAAGACCCCAGGUGGAGGUGGGUGCCUCCCCUCCCCUCUUUGUCACUUUGGUUUCCUAUAAAUAUGUAUGUAUCGUAUGUGCAUCUUUGCUAUUGUAAAUAACUUUGACCUUUUUUGUUCCUGUUCCUGAAGUGCUGGAGGCAGUUAUGGAAGGAGCUGCUUAGGGAAAAGGGGGUUCACUUGUAUCUCCUUAGUUAACAACCCAGCUCCAGGAUCGAGCCUAAAGCGGGAGCCAGGCCUGAGUGUCCCUGUCCCUGUGAGUGGGAAGGUCUUUUGGCUUCCCAUCCCACCUGGCUCCAGAGCCUGCCCUCCACAGCUUGCUGCCGAGCUACUCCCUCCCUCCCUGGACUUCUCAUCUUCACAAGAUGGGGACCAUGGGGGUUUCUUACCCCACCUAUGUCCCCCUUCCCCACCCUGUCCCUAUAGAAAACCAGUGAAGCAGGUACGGAGCUGAAGACUGGGCCCCAGGAGGUGGGGACGGGUCUGAAUGCUGAGUCCCUGAAUUCACCCAGGACCAUCCAAGGGGCCACCGCAGCAUUGGCCCCAUCACCACGUCCUCACCCAACUCUCCCUGAUGAAUAGAAUAUACACACUGUGCUAGGUGUAUAUAUACAUAUAUAUAUAUAAAUAUAUAUAUAAUAUAUAAAAUAUAGAUAUGGAAAUGACUGUUUUGCUGUUAAGAUAAUGUAUACUCUUUUAUUUUCUUCCUUUCAUGGUUAAGAUUUUUUUUUUAAGAAAAGUUAAAUAUU
This 4788-nucleotide small RNA is filed under the name Pongo abelii (Sumatran orangutan). Its description in RNAcentral is "processed transcript". Lineage: Eukaryota; Metazoa; Chordata; Mammalia; Primates; Hominidae. The record is from RNAcentral.